GCGCCUAUUGGCUGCGGGCGGGGCGAGGGGCGGUUCUCAGCCCCAGUGUGUGGCGCGAUUGGAUAGGCUCCGGGACACGGCUGGGAGGAGCCAUCUUGAGAGCGGGAAGGAUGUCGAAAUGCCACACGCGUCCGCCAUCUUGAUUGGGGGCAGGGCAUGAAAUAACCUCAUCGGGAGCCAUCUUGAGUACGGGCAAGGGCGCCAACGCGCACAUUGCGUUAUCAUCCGUGGCGCGGCCCGGCGCCUUGCAGCCUCCUGCGCGGAGAGCGGCCGCUGCCAUCUUGGCUACGGGUAGAGAAGCCGCGCACUGCUGUCAGCCGCCAUCUCGAGCUACCCUGUCCUCUGAGUGCUGGUGAGGUCCUUGUCUUCCCUCCCUAGAUUGCACUGCUCUGUGAGAAGCUUCCUGAAGCACCUCCAGAGACCCAGGAGGAGAGGCUGAUUACUGCUUGUUGGAGCAGGCGAGCCAUUGCCAGCUGGCUGCAGGCUUUUAUUGGCUCUGUUUGAAGAAGACUUGAUUUAGAGCUCACAGUUCUGUUACAAGGACGGCAGCCAUGUAAUGCAGACCCUCAAGAGAAGACAUAAUUAGGACUCGGAUGAAAAAAUGUGUCCAGUUCUUUGGACCAAAAAGCUCUUGUUUAAGGAAUGUGGUUUACUGUAUGCUAACAUUUAACAUUUAACUCUGAGGGCUGGUUCGUGCAGUCAGCUCCGGCCCUCUCUCACACAGCUGGAUGUUGCUUUCUCUCAAAAUACAGACAUGCCACCCUGUAGCAAGUACAAAGUAUCUCGGGAACUGCAUUUCUGCAAGCAGGGAAGGAGAGGUGGAGCAGAACAGAGCAGAAGCGCUGAGAAGGCCGUGGCACAUUGCGGGGAGGAAAGGAACAAACGUGGCAGAGAACAGGAAGAACGAUGUGCUGGGAAAUGAUUAAUCCACCCCAAAGGCCCUCGCUAAGAAGUUGUGGGACAAGUUCAAUGGUUUUUGGCAGCCACGAGCAAUUUCUCCUCCACUCUCGGCCCCCUGCUUGCUCCUUUCAAGCCGACGUGCUCAAGCACAACUUCCUCUCGCUGCUGUCCCUCCAGCAGCGUCCCUCACCCCUUCUCUGCAGCUCUCUGGCAGCCCAUCCCCUCCUCUAUGCAUGUUUUACAGCUGUCCUGUGUCCCUCCACCUCCAAUAAGUGUUACUCAAGCAAGCAGGAACAAACAACCCAUGCUGGGGGAGGGGGUGGGAGCCAAGUUUAAGAACUGCUGCUCUGUAUCCUGUUUUUCAACCGGGAUUGUUCCAGUUUCCUGCACUGUCUUAUCUAGAGCUGAAAAGCCAAAGCUCUCAUAUUUACUUGCUUUGUGCAUGCCUCAGCUUUCUAAUCUGUGAAACAGACCUUAUGAGACAUAAGAGAAACACAUCCAGGACUAUUACAGGGUGGAGGGACAGGAACAGCGUGGUUAAAGGGCUUCCAGUGUCUGUACAAUUAGGCUCUUUAUUUAGUUCUCCUGCUUGCAUAAGCCUGCGUACAUCACAGAGAGUUUCAGACAACCACCCCCAUCCUGUAGUGCUGCAUGGAGUUCAUGGAAAUGUAAAAGGGUAAAGCAUGGAUAUUUAUGUCAGGUGAUUCUGGGUAGCAACCUUACUAAAGAACUGUUCUCAGAAAGGACUGAAUCUUUUCCCCACAACACAAACUAGGCACAGGAAAGUCUUAAAUAGGAAGCAGCAUUUCAAUGCUUGUAGUCAGCUUUAAGGGCUCCACUGAAAUGCUGCAGGCUUCUUUAAAAUACCUGACCACGUUUUUGUUGUUUAAUCCAUAGAGAAAAUAAGCAUAUAUUGCCUUAGCAUCUUGAAAGCUUACCGGUGCGGGGCCACGAGAGAGCAAAACAACUUUUUGUUCCCCUUCUUUCUCCUGCUUCUUUGGAGGUGCUCUCAACCAAUGUAAAUAAGAAAGCAGGGCUGGGCUGAAGAAGUACCCUCAUAUGAUUACCAGAG
Tympanuchus pallidicinctus (lesser prairie-chicken) is the source of this 1972-nucleotide long non-coding RNA. RefSeq lists it as uncharacterized. The record is from RefSeq and is a predicted model, not a curated record. NCBI's taxonomy places the organism in Eukaryota, Metazoa, Chordata, Aves, Galliformes, Phasianidae. The transcript has 4 exons.